RNAcentral lists this ribosomal RNA (254 nucleotides) under uncultured bacterium. RNAcentral describes it as "partial 16S ribosomal RNA". It matches the Rfam family "Bacterial small subunit ribosomal RNA", at positions 524 to 776 of the family's 1533-position model. The record is from RNAcentral.
UACGUAGGGUGCGAGCGUUGUCCGGAAUUACUGGGCGUAAAGAGCUCGUAGGUGGUUUGUCGCGUUGUCCGUGAAAACUCACAACUCAAUUGUGGGCGUGCGGGCGAUACGGGCAGACUGGAGUACUGCAGGGGGAGACUGGAAUUCCUGGUGUAGCGGUGGAAUGCGCAGAUAUCAGGAGGAACACCGGUGGCGAAGGCGGGUCUCUGGGCCGACACUGACACUGAGAGACGAAAGCUAGGGGAGCGAAUGGG